Molecule: non-coding RNA, 585 nt
Organism: Pelobates cultripes (western spadefoot toad)
Lineage: Eukaryota; Metazoa; Chordata; Amphibia; Anura; Pelobatidae
Source: the annotation of a GenBank genome assembly
AUUGUAAGUAAGGGAUGAAAUUGAGUUUAGAACUGUCAAUUUUAGAAAUUACAAUCAAAGUAGUUGCCACAAAGACUGAGACAAACACGUUGAACUGACAGCAAAUCUAAGUUAUGGUAGUCAUUUUAGAUAAGCCAAAUGACGUCAAAAUCGUCAUCAGGAAAAGUUAACUCUUUUCUGGAUAGGAACGUUUAGUUAGGCAAGACUGCCCUCUAUGGAUCAAAUACCUAAAUUGCGAUCCAUAGAUUGGACACACCUACGGUUUCCUAUUGGCUUUAUCAACUAAUGACGUACAGAGAGUCUGGCCCUUUAAAAGUUAGGACAAAGGAAGAGAGAGGUUAGUUGGUAGAGAGAGGGAGUUGGAGUUUGGGCAUUCAGAUUCGGACAUGGAGAAAGAGACUCAAGAAACACUCUCUGGGACUAACACUCUACUCUUAAACUCUCUUGGACACAACUCCUUGACACUUAGAAUUUUACUCUGACUUUCUAACCAACACCACUUUUCUCUAUCACUCACGCACCUCCAUACAACCAAUCAACUUCCUGGGACUACCUACUCAUCUGAUGAGAAUAUCUACAUAACUG